CAAAACUCAAGCGGAACAACAUAAUAUCCAACACUAAAAUAAUUGUCCAACAAAUUACACUUGAACAAAAUGAAUGAUUUUUUUGGAAUUAUCAUACACAUUUUGUAAAGGACUGAUAACAUUUCUCUCAUUUAUUUAGCAACCCAUACAUCUAUAUAUAUAAAAAGCAAAUGCGUCCACUUUGUUUAUCUGUUCGCUUGAAUUCAAAUGGUCCCAUCAUGAUGCGGUAAAUAUGGAUAGCUGUAUGGUAUUGCAUGACCUAACGUGCAAAUUACAAUUAAUGAACGAAGAGGAAGUAUUCAAAUUCAAAUGUUGUUAUUUAAAAAUUUAUGUUCGUUGUGAAUUGAAAAUAACAUUUGUGGUCAUAGAAGGGAUCAAAGAAGAAGACGGGACUCGUGUGUACACGUGUGACUCAUCCCGUCGACCUAUAUCAAUUCACAGGCGUUAAGACAACGUAAAGUGCUUACGACACGCUAUAAUUAAUAGACUAACGAAUAGGAGUUGCAAAUAUGAGAAUGGCAUCGGCAUGGAAUGUUGUUGUUGAGGAGGAGGUGGAACCUCGGGUACACCAUCGUCCAUACCACUAUGUCUCGAUGUUGGUCUCUUUACUUUGGUUCGAUCCGAUCGUGCCUACAUGUACACUAUAACAUGUAAAAUAAAGUAAAGAAAAGAGUAUGACUGUGACAUAAGAAUAUACUUUUGAUUUCUUAGCCCUCACCUCCAAUGGGCCUUUUAUUUGUUUUCUCUUUAGUUCCCCUUUUGUCUUCAAUGAUUUCGGAUCCUUGAUGCUCCCGCUCACAGAAUCUUGAGGGGACAGUAUACUGCGAUAUAGUAUUACUACCUAAACUUGGUUUCCCCAAACUAAGCUCUUUAUUUUGAAUUUCUAUCCAAUCCAUGAUCGCACGAUAUCGCCUUUCAUCAUCAGCUGCAAGGUCUGUCACCUUGGCGAAUGCCUGACACAUGUCAUCUUACCUCAAUUGUCCUAGAGUACUAACCAAUCCAUCAUAAUUAACUGCGACUUUCGUGUGUGCUCUGUUGAUGUCUCUCCUCCAUCUCCGCAAUAUAUAUUGAUCCGGCAUUAUAGUUAUGUCAUUACGAACCAACAUUGCGAGCGCAUUCCUGCAUACUAUUCCUUGGAACUCGAACAAGUUACAAUUACAAAUAAUCUCACAUUUCUCUGCAUUGAAUAAGGCUAGAAACAUUUUUUUCCCUUUUAUCAAUCGCCCAAUAAAACUUCUUCAUACACCUCAUACGUCGUCCCCAUAUGUCUAUCUGAAGCGGAUAUAAGAUCACAAUAAGCCGUCCUUGUAAAUUCACCUUGAACUUCUUUGAACUUCGAAAUGGUGUACACUUUUUGAUAUUAUUUUUCCAUUUCAUAAGUUGUUGCACAUGGUACUAUCUGAGAGAAAGACUUGAAAUCAGCCUGAAAUUCCUUCUCAACCUUAUUCGACAAUGCUCGUUCGUACUGUUCAACAAAUUGUUUCAAUGAUGUCUUAGAAUGCACAUAACCAUCGAAGACAGUGUUUACACUCACUUCUUUGCGUCAUUGACAUCCUAGCCCAGAAAGUUGUUUUCAAGAAACACGGACCCAGUGACCUCUAUUAUCAUACAAUCUUAACAACCAAUCGUUAUCAUGCAAGUCAUUUGUACUAAUCACCAAUUUCCAACCAUUCUCUAAUUCUUCGACGAACUGUGAAUCAUACACCAAAGUGUGUAUAGCCGAAAAUAUUGAAGACUUAUCUACAUGGUAUCCAAACUUUUCUGGAAACUUUUUCAAAAUAUCCCACAAGCAUCAUGUAUGCUUCGUGUUCGGAAAGACUAUCUGAAUUGCAUUAUGCAUGCCCCUAUUUCAUCAGUCAUUAUUUCGUGCGGAGCUUGAUCAUGCAUGAACUGAAACCAUGACCUGAACAAUCAUACAAAUGUAUCCAUGUCCUCGUUUGAUACCAAACCACAAACCAGCAACGUCGAUUAUCCAUGAUGAUUCACGCUAACAAAAGGAGUGAACGAUAUAUUGUACUUAUUAGUAAGGUAAGUAGUAUCAAAUGUGACAAUAUCCCCAAACUCAUUGUAUGCUUGCCUACAUUGAUUGUUUGCCCAGAACAGAUUCUUCAGACGCGAAUCGUCAUCUAAGUCAAUACUAAAAUAAAAUCCCGAGCAUUAUGCUUGCAUUUUAGAAAAGUAAGACUAAAUUGCUGUUGCAUCACCCUUGCCAAGUCUUAGUUGUCUCAUUUGUUCAAUAUAGUUCCGACAAUCAUUUUCCAUGCAAGUCAUAUUCUCAUAGCCUCUAGCUUCAAUAACUGCGGAGUUAAAACUUUUGUGGAAUGAUAUACCUGUCAUAUCGGUCACUUCAAGCUUUCGUUUUACAUGUGCACUUAAUUCUUUGUUAAAUCGAUACAACCUGGACUUAGUAGGACUUGUCUUAUGGUUGUGGUCAAGGUGGACUUUGUUAAUUUUCUAGUAACAAUGAAUAUUGAAAGAUGCAAAGAUUUUAGCUUUACAACUUGUCUGAAUUGUUGGUUAUGGCUUUAUAGAAGUGCUUGUAUUAUCGUUUUUUCGUCAUUCCUGACUACAUGUCAACGUGACAUAUCUUAAAACACCAUAAUCAUCCUUCGUCGAACUCCUCUUCCUAAUUGGAAAACCCACUGUAUAUGCAUAUCUUGCAUAAAAAUCAUACACUUCUUUUUUAUUCUUAAAUUGCAUACCAACCUCAGCACAAUAUGAUCAUCUCUUCAUAUAGUUUCCUCUUUCAUAACAUUUACAUUGCCUUCCACAUUCUCAUUUUCAUAUUCAACGAACAAAUCAUCUUCCACAUUCUUGCCUUCUUCAAAACGUAAAUACUAUAUGUCAUCAACUGAUAUUAAACUAUGAUUAAACAUAUAACUCAUUUUAGUGGAUAUGUGUACCGAUCUUCCAAAACUUUCAUCACCGAAUAUAUUAGGGCAGAAGUCCAGUAUAUUUGGUUAACUAAAAUGUACAAAUGAACGAACUAAUUAAAAAGGAAAUCUUACAAUUCUGCACAAAAAAAAAAAAAAAAGAAUCAAUUUCAAUAGUGUUUUGAAUUUCUUAUACUUCAUAAAUAAAUUAAUUGAUGCAAAAAUCCAAUUUCCCAGUAAGAUUUCAAAAUUUUAAAAUGCAAUUAGUUCCAUUUCUCAAACACCAACAAAAUCUAACAGCUCAACUCAAACCAAGAAAUUCCAACCUACAAAACAAAAGUAUCCAUACCUUCUUAUGUGACGAUCGAGUGUUGCCGAAGAUGGAGAAGAUAGCUGAAUAAGAUAAGUUUGAGUGGAGAAGAUAGACCGGAGGUGCGAGCUUGGACACGGCGUUGAUGUUGGGUCUCUUGCUAGCU
Molecule: long non-coding RNA, 3349 nt
Filed under: Olea europaea subsp. europaea
Lineage: Eukaryota; Viridiplantae; Streptophyta; Magnoliopsida; Lamiales; Oleaceae
Source: RNAcentral